This 66-nucleotide transfer RNA is filed under the name Tylodelphys immer. Its description in RNAcentral is "tRNA-Ser". The record is from RNAcentral. Lineage: Eukaryota; Metazoa; Platyhelminthes; Trematoda; Diplostomida; Diplostomidae.
GCGAGUUAGGUUUAAACCAGAGUUGAUUUGAAAUCAUCUUUCUUAUGUUGAGUCAUAAAAUUCGUU